UACGAAGGGGGCGAGCGUUGUUCGGAAUUACUGGGCGUAAAGGGCGCGUAGGCGGCGACUCAAGUUAGAUGUGAAAGCCCCCGGCUCAACUGGGGAGGGUCAUUCGAUACUGUUCGACUCGAAGGCAGGAGAGGGAAGCGGAAUUCCCGGUGUAGUGGUGAAAUGCGUAGAUAUCGGGAGGAACACCAGUGGCGAAGGCGGCUUCCUGGCCUGUUCUUGACGCUGAGGCGCGAAAGCUAGGGGAGCAAACGGG
Molecule: ribosomal RNA, 253 nt
Filed under: uncultured bacterium
Lineage: Bacteria
Description: partial 16S ribosomal RNA
Rfam family: Bacterial small subunit ribosomal RNA
Source: RNAcentral